GUAUGUGUAUAUUUGUAACUGAUCAAAAGAAUUUUUGUACACAAUAAGAAUUAAAGAUAGAUUAUCGGUUAAAUAGAUGGUUUGAAAAACCUUAUUCUACGCCACCCUUUUGGAUUAGCAUAACAGAGACAUCCAUCCUCAGUCAUUCGCAAUGGCCCGACGACUCCUUCCACUCACCUCCCUCCGCCACCUCUCCGUCGCCGCCUCGCGUCGCCUCCUCUCCUCUGCACUCCCCGUCGCUCCCCGCCCCUAUCCGCCCCUCACCGCCCGCUUCGCCGUCGUCCGGUGCCUCUGCAACCGCCCCGGAGACUCGGCGUACUCGCCCCUGAACACGGGAAAGCCCACCUCCAUCUUGUCGUCGAUCACGGAGCGCCCUCCGACGGACAUGGCGCCCCUGUUCCCGGGCUGCGACUACCAUCACUGGCUCGUCGUCAUCCACAAGCCCGGCGGCGAAGGCGCUACCAAGCAACAGAUGAUAGAUUGCUACGUUCAAACCCUCGCCAAGGUUCUUGGCAGUGAAGAGGAAGCUAAGAAAAAGAUUUACAAUGUUUCCUGUGAGAGGUACUUCGCAUUUGGAUGUGACAUUGAUGAGGAGACAUCGAAUAAGCUGGAAGGUUUGCCUGGAGUUUUGUUUGUUCUCCCAGAUUCAUAUGUAGAUCCUGAACACAAAGACUAUGGAGGUGAAUUAUUUGUGAAUGGAGAGAUUGUGCAGAGACCACCUGAAAGACAGAGAAGAGUGGAGCCGCAGCCACAAAGGCAACAGGACAGACCAAGAUACAAUGAUAGAACAAGGUAUGUUCGACGCAGAGAAAACACAAAAUGAAGGAGCAAGCGGAUAAUAAGAGGAGGGAGGAGAGGGAUGUUGAAGAUAUGGAAGAGUGGAUUCUGCACUAUUAUUGUAGUGUAGCCUUUGGAUGCCUACUAUUUCUGGUGGUACUUGAAUAUGCUAGUAGUUAAACUAGUAGUAUAUGAAUAUGUUAGUAGUUAAACCAGUGUUGAUGUUGGCUUUAUUCUUUAUCAUCUUUUCCAUGGGAGAGUGUUGAACAUAUAGCAUAUAAUAUAUCUCUAUGCAGUGUUACUGUUUUGUACACUGCUUCUUACGCUUU
RNA transcript from Glycine soja, 1106 nucleotides. It is a transcript of the gene named multiple organellar RNA editing factor 2, chloroplastic-like, with no coding region annotated. The transcript is spliced from 4 exons. The record is from RefSeq and is a predicted model, not a curated record. NCBI's taxonomy places the organism in Eukaryota, Viridiplantae, Streptophyta, Magnoliopsida, Fabales, Fabaceae.